UAGAAGAGACUCGUGAUCUCCUGCCUGGAGGGUGAAGGCCCAGCAGCUGACACUUGGAAGCUGAGUGGAGGAAGCAGACUAAAAUCCAACUCCAAAGCUCAAGAACCAUUGAAACUGUAAAGACAAAGGCAAUCUUGUAUCUCUCUGCAAGAAGACAGGCAAUUCCCAAAUUAACUCAGAUAUAAUGUAGGAAGACUUCUACUCAUCCUAGAGGACACUUCAGAGACCAAGAAUAUUGUCUAGGAACUGAAGCAGCUUUAUCAACCUUGGCUUAUAAUCCAAUCACAAAUAUCAACAUGGUAGAAUGAAUGGUCAAGGAAGAAUUAGGAGGUCAUGCAAACAGC
Molecule: long non-coding RNA, 344 nt
Organism: Mustela erminea (ermine)
Lineage: Eukaryota; Metazoa; Chordata; Mammalia; Carnivora; Mustelidae
Exons: 3
Source: RefSeq, a predicted model, not a curated record